AUCGAUGAAGAACGCAGUGAAAUGCGAUAAGUAAUGUGAAUUGCAGAAUCUCGUGAAUCAUCGAAUCUUUGAACGCACAUUGCGCCCUAUGGUAUUCCGUAGGGCAUGCCUGUCUGAGAGUCAGCUCCCACCCACUCAGGUAUCUGUUUAUCGGAUGCUUGGAAUGCUUUGGAGAGGCGUCUUAUUAUAGAAACGCCCCCCAGAAAUUAAUAGGCAGUAUGGUUUGCACCUGAACCAGAGACGUAAUAAUAAUAAAAUCGUUUUGUUUAGGUAUAAUUGUGCUUGCCUCAACCCACCCAUCUUUUUAUUUUCGGGUGACCUCAGAUCAGGUAGGGAUACCCGCUGAACUUAAGCAUAUCAAUAAGCGGAGGAAAAGAAACCAACAGGGAUUGCCUUAGUAACGGCGAGUGAAGCGGCAAAAGCUCAGAUUUGAAAUCUGGCGUCAUUUUGGCGUCCGAGUUGUAGUCUGUAGAGGUGUAUUCGAGUGUGGCUUUGGCUUAAGUUCCUUGGAACAGGGCGUCAUAGAGGGUGAGAACCCCGUUAACGGCCUUUGUCUUAUGCUCAUGUGAAUCUCCUUCAACGAGUCGAGUUGUUUGGGAAUGCAGCUCUAAAUGGGUGGUAAAUUUCAUCUAAAGCUAAAUAUUGGCCAGAGACCGAUAGCGCACAAGUAGAGUGAUCGAAAGAUGAAAAGCACUUUGGAAAGAGAGUUAAACAGUACGUGAAAUUGUUGAAAGGGAAGCGCUUGCAACCAGACUUGCGCGCUGAUGAUCAUCCGGGCUUCUGCCCGGUGCACUCGUCUGCGCUCAGGCCAGCAUCGGUUUCGGUGGUGGGAUAAAGGCCUUGGGAAUGUGGCUCCUCUCGGGGAGUGUUAUAGCCCUCGGUGCAAUGCCGCCAACCGGGACCGAGGACCGCGCUUCGGCUAGGAUGCUGGCGUAAUGGUUGUAAGCGACCCGUCUUGAAACA
Molecule: ribosomal RNA, 963 nt
Filed under: uncultured Ascomycota
Lineage: Eukaryota; Fungi; Ascomycota
Description: eukaryotic LSU rRNA
Rfam family: Eukaryotic large subunit ribosomal RNA (bases 316-963)
Source: RNAcentral